GACGAACGCUGGCGGCGUGCUUAACACAUGCAAGUCGAACGGAAAGGCCCUGCUUUUGUGGGGUGCUCGAGUGGCGAACGGGUGAGUAACACGUGAGUAACCUGCCCUUGACUUUGGGAUAACUUCAGGAAACUGGGGCUAAUACCGGAUAGGAGCUCCUGCUGCAUGGUGGGGGUUGGAAAGUUUCGGCGGUUGGGGAUGGACUCGCGGCUUAUCAGCUUGUUGGUGGGGUAGUGGCUUACCAAGGCUUUGACGGGUAGCCGGCCUGAGAGGGUGACCGGCCACAAUGGGACUGAGAUACGGCCCAGACUGCUACGGGAGGCAGCGGUGGGGAAUAUUGCACAAUGGGCGGGAGCCUGAUGCAGCAACGCCGCGUGCGGGAUGACGGCCUUCGGGUUGUAAACCGCUUUCGCCUGUGACGAAGCGUGAGUGACGGUAAUGGGUAAAGAAGCACCGGCUAACUACGUG
RNAcentral lists this ribosomal RNA (468 nucleotides) under uncultured bacterium. Its description in RNAcentral is "partial 16S ribosomal RNA". It matches the Rfam family "Bacterial small subunit ribosomal RNA", at positions 28 to 507 of the family's 1533-position model. The record is from RNAcentral.